This 284-nucleotide unclassified non-coding RNA is filed under the name uncultured fungus. Its description in RNAcentral is "partial contains small subunit ribosomal RNA, internal transcribed spacer 1, and 5.8S ribosomal RNA". The stretch from base 1 to 73 matches the Rfam family "Eukaryotic small subunit ribosomal RNA", at positions 1759 to 1831 of the family's 1831-position model. The record is from RNAcentral. Lineage: Eukaryota; Fungi.
GCAAACUUGGUCAUUUAGAGGAAGUAAAAGUCGUAACAAGGUUUCCGUAGGUGAACCUGCGGAAGGAUCAUUACUAUUUAAAGCUGGGGGCCAUGGGCCUCCGGUAGUCUGAUCAACCACUUGUGCACGCAUAGAUUUCUAACGGGCUUUGGCGGAUGUAAAAGUCUGCCAAAGUUUUCGUUUAUCAAUAAACUUGUCUUAUAUUUGACUGAGUUUUGUUUAAAUUAAAUAAAACAACUUUCAACAACGGAUCUCUUGGCUCUCGCAUCGAUGAAGAACGCAGC